Molecule: ribosomal RNA, 552 nt
Filed under: Candidatus Dojkabacteria bacterium
Lineage: Bacteria
Description: partial 23S ribosomal RNA
Rfam family: Bacterial large subunit ribosomal RNA
Source: RNAcentral
GGGAUCUUUCAGAGAGUCCGGCAUGGCUCUCAGUGAGUUAACAAGGUGUUGGUUAGUCGAAGGUCAUGGAACGGACCGCCAAAGACGGUGACAGCCCGGUAGACGAAAGUCAGCACCCUCACGAAAGACACCCGAGUACCGCAGGACACGUGAAACCCGGCGGGAAUCUGGGAGGACCAUCUUCCAAGGCUAAAUACUACUCAUCGACCGAUAGUGAACAAGUACCGCGAGGGAAAGGUGAAAAGCACCCCGGUUAGGGGAGUGAAAUAGUACCUGAAACCGUGCGCCUACAAGCAGUGGGAGCACUAUGGCUAGCUUGCUAGCAACGUGUGACCGCGUACCUUUUGCAUCAUGAGCCUGUGAGUUACGGUAUGUGGCAAGGUUAAGCCGUUAGGUGGAGCCGCAGCGAAAGCGAGUCUUAACAGGGCGUUAAGUCGCAUGCCGUAGACCCGAAACCCGUGCGAUCUAUCCAUGUCCAGGUUGAAGGGCCGGUAACACGGCCUGGAGGACCGAACCCACUAGAGUUGAAAAUCUAGGGGAUGAGGUGUGGAU